Molecule: ribosomal RNA, 427 nt
Filed under: uncultured bacterium
Lineage: Bacteria
Description: bacterial SSU rRNA
Rfam family: Bacterial small subunit ribosomal RNA
Source: RNAcentral
UGGGGAAUAUUGCACAAUGGGCGCAAGCCUGAUGCAGCCAUGCCGCGUGUGUGAAGAAGGCCUUCGGGUUGUAAAGCACUUUCAGCGGGGAGGAAGGCGACACGGUUAAUAACCGUGUUGAUUGACGUUACCCGCAGAAGAAGCACCGGCUAACUCCGUGCCAGCAGCCGCGGUAAUACGUAGGGUGCGAGCGUUAAUCGGAAUUACUGGGCGUAAAGCGUGCGCAGGCGGUCUUGUAAGACAGUCGUGAAAGCCCCGGGCUUAACCUGGGAACUGCAUUCAAAACUGACUGACUAGAGUAUGGUAGAGGGUGGUGGAAUUUCCUGUGUAGCGGUGAAAUGCGUAGAUAUAGGAAGGAACACCAGUGGCGAAGGCGACCACCUGGACUGAUACUGACACUGAGGUGCGAAAGCGUGGGGAGCAAACA